CGCACCAUGAAGCAGGUCCUGGCGCUGCUGGUGUUGGAGCAGCUGCCAACUAUCCUGUCCCAGGAGAUCCACAACAGCGAGCAGAAGCUGCACCCGCACAGCUUGCCAAGAAGCUAUUAAAGAUGGAAGAAAUCUGACAUGCAGUGUGAUCUCACCAUCUCCGCUGUGUCUGAGAGCCCCUGCAUAGACUGUUAGGAGGAAUAGAAUCCCCUCUCCAGUGUAACCCAGGAAAACUGUAUCGACAUAACAACAUAUCAAAUGAAAAGGAGUGACAGCGUGGCAUGAGGGAUUGCAGUUCCCCGACCGCGGAUGGAACCUGCGCCCCCUGCAGUGGAAGUGCGGAGUCUUAACCACUGGACCUCCAGGGAAGUCCCGGAAGUUAAUCAUUUUGAUCACAUUAAUUCCUUUUUAGGUAAAAGACUAAAUCCAUAUUUAAUACAGAGGGAAAAAAUUAACGUUCCUCAAACG
Long non-coding RNA from Lagenorhynchus albirostris (white-beaked dolphin), 468 nucleotides. RefSeq lists it as uncharacterized. The transcript is spliced from 3 exons. The record is from RefSeq and is a predicted model, not a curated record. Lineage: Eukaryota; Metazoa; Chordata; Mammalia; Artiodactyla; Delphinidae.